GUCCCUCACUAUCGCUGCAGUAAAGUGAAACGGACGUACCAGCACAGGGUGGUUGUAGUCGAUGGCCUUGACGUCAGGCAAGUUGUUGGACAGCCUCUCCAGGUAGUAGCGAGCCAGGAGCUGCUGCAGGACGAAGAAGAAGCUCUCGCCGCGGUACUUGUACUCGGGAAGGCUGUAGUUGGCGGGGUUCAGCCAGAAGGGGUACUUGUAGCUCAGGUAUGCGUAGAAGGAGUUGAGGCCGA
Long non-coding RNA from Schistocerca cancellata (South American locust), 242 nucleotides. RefSeq lists it as uncharacterized. NCBI's taxonomy places the organism in Eukaryota, Metazoa, Arthropoda, Insecta, Orthoptera, Acrididae. The transcript has 2 exons. The record is from RefSeq and is a predicted model, not a curated record.